UGGCUCAGGAUGAACGCUAGCGACAGGCCUAACACAUGCAAGUCGAGGGGCAGCACAAGGAGCAAUCUGAGGUGGCGACCGGCGCACGGGUGAGUAACACGUAUGCAACCUGCCUGUAAGCGGGGAAUAACCCGUUGAAAGACGGACUAAUACCGCAUAAUACUAAAUUACUGCAUGGUAAUUUAUUUAAACAUUUAUGGCUUACAGAUGGGCAUGCGCAUGAUUAGCUAGUUGGAGAGGUAACGGCUCCCCAAGGCAACGAUCAUUAGGGGUUCUGAGAGGAAGGUCCCCCACACUGGUACUGAGACACGGACCAGACUCCUACGGGAGGCAGCAGUGAGGAAUAUUGGUCAAUGGACGAGAGUCUGAACCAGCCAAGUCGCGUGCAGGAAGAAUGUCCUAUGGAUUGUAAACUGCUUUUGCAGGGGAAUAAAGUGCAUCACGUGUGAUGUUUUGUAUGUACUCUGCGAAUAAGGAUCGGCUAACUCCGUGCCAGCCGCCGC
This 503-nucleotide ribosomal RNA is filed under the name uncultured bacterium. RNAcentral describes it as "bacterial SSU rRNA". It matches the Rfam family "Bacterial small subunit ribosomal RNA", at positions 20 to 518 of the family's 1533-position model. The record is from RNAcentral.